GAAAUGCGAUAAGUAAUGUGAAUUGCAGAAUUCCGUGAAUCAUCGAAUCUUUGAACGCACAUUGCGCCCUCUGGCAUUCCGGGGGGCAUGCCUGUCCGAGCGUCAUUACGCACCCUCAAGCCCGGCUUGUGUGAUGGGCCCCGGCGUCUCGUUCGCGAGACGGGCCCGAAAGGCAGCGGCGGCGUCGACCCGAUGAGCCCGAGCGUAGUAACUAAAACGUCUCGCUCUGGCUCGCUGGGCGCGCUCCGGCCGUAAAACACCCCCCCUUUUCGCAAAGGUUGACCUCGGAUCAGGUAGGAAUACCCGCUGAACUUAAGC
Molecule: unclassified non-coding RNA, 318 nt
Filed under: plant metagenome
Description: partial contains 5.8S ribosomal RNA, internal transcribed spacer 2, and large subunit ribosomal RNA
Rfam family: 5.8S ribosomal RNA (bases 1-105)
Source: RNAcentral